GAAAGAUGUGUGGCCCCCUAGCAGUCCGGACCUUAACCCGUUGGAUUAUUCGAUUUGAGCGUAUGUUGACGCACAAGCCUGCAAAACAUCUCCCCCUAGUGUGAAGACCCUGAAGUCUGUCAUAUAGUCAUGGCAGUCGAUAUCGGAGGACUACGUUCGAAAGGCGUGUUCUAGCUUCCGGCGUCGUCUUGAAGAUGGCAUUGGUAAAAAUGGAGGACACAUCGAGUAAGUUUAUUUGAAAGGACCUAAUAAAGAUAACUGAACUCGAAA
This is a long non-coding RNA of Ochlerotatus camptorhynchus, 270 nucleotides long. RefSeq lists it as uncharacterized. The record is from RefSeq and is a predicted model, not a curated record. The transcript is spliced from 2 exons. NCBI's taxonomy places the organism in Eukaryota, Metazoa, Arthropoda, Insecta, Diptera, Culicidae.